CUAUCACUCUGGUAGGAACUGGCGCGCAGUUUUGGCAGGCACGAGGCGGGGUUACAUUGUUCUGAGCCGAAUCCGGCUUGAAGGUUUUCAAAGUAAAAAACUGGGGACAAAGUGAAUGUUAAAAUUCCCAAGAAACAUAUCACAUCAUUGGCUAAAACUCAUGACCUCAAGAUCAAGACCUCAGUCCCCCCACACC
Molecule: long non-coding RNA, 196 nt
Organism: Canis lupus familiaris (dog)
Lineage: Eukaryota; Metazoa; Chordata; Mammalia; Carnivora; Canidae
Exons: 3
Source: RefSeq, a predicted model, not a curated record